UUCCCCUAGUAGCGGCGAGCGAAGCGGGAAGAGCUCAAAAUUUAUUAAUCUGGGCACCUUCGGGUGUCCGAGUUGUAAUCUCUAGAAGUGUUUCCGCGUUGGACCGCACACAAGUCUGUUGGAAUACAGCGGCAUAGUGGUGAAACCCCCGUAUAUGGUGCGGACGCCCAGCGCUUUGUGAUACACUUUCAAUGAGUCGAGUUGUUUGGGAAUGCAGCUCAAAUUGGGUGGUAAAUUCCAUCUAAAGCUAAAUAUUGGCGAGAGACCGAUAGCGAACAAGUACCGUGAGGGAAAGAUGAAAAGCACUUUGGAAAGAGAGUUAACAGUACGUGAAAUUGUUGGAAGGGAAACGCUUGAAGUCAGACUUGCUUGCCGGAGCUUGCUUCGGUUUGCAGGCCAGCAUCAGUUUUCCGGGGUGGAUAAUGACGGUUUGAAGGUAGCAGUCUCGGCUGUGUUAUAGCUUUCCGUUGGAUACGCCCUGGGGGACUGAGGAACGCAGCGUGCUUUUUGCGAAAGA
This 517-nucleotide ribosomal RNA is filed under the name Rhodotorula diobovata. Its description in RNAcentral is "eukaryotic LSU rRNA". It matches the Rfam family "Eukaryotic large subunit ribosomal RNA", at positions 75 to 592 of the family's 3401-position model. The record is from RNAcentral. Lineage: Eukaryota; Fungi; Basidiomycota; Microbotryomycetes; Sporidiobolales; Sporidiobolaceae.